Molecule: ribosomal RNA, 868 nt
Filed under: uncultured archaeon
Lineage: Archaea
Description: bacterial SSU rRNA
Rfam family: Archaeal small subunit ribosomal RNA
Source: RNAcentral
CUCCGGUUGAUCCCGCCGGACCCGACUGCUAUCAGAGUGGGACUAAGCCAUGCGAGUCAACAUAGCAAUAUGUGGCAUACGGCUCAGUAACACGUAGUCAACAUGCCCAGGGGACGUGGAUAACCUCGGGAAACUGAGGAUAAACCGCGAUAGGUCAUCACUUCUGGAAUGGGUAAUGACUUAAAUCUAUAUGGCCCCUGGAUUGGACUGCGGCCGAUCAGGCUGUUGGUGAGGUAAUGGCCCACCAAACCUGUAACCGGUACGGGCUCUGAGAGGAGGAGCCCGGAGAUGGGCACUGAGACAAGGGCCCAGGCCCUAUGGGGCGCAGCAGGCGCGAAACCUCUGCAAUAGGCGAAAGCUUGACAGGGUUACUCUGAGUGAUUUCCGUUAAGGAGAUCUUUUGGCACCUCUAAAAAUGGUGCAGAAUAAGGGGUGGGCAAGUCUGGUGUCAGCCGCCGCGGUAAUACCAGCACCCCGAGUGGUCGGGACGUUUAUUGGGCCUAAAGCAUCCGUAGCCGGUUCUACAAGUCUUCCGUUAAAUCCACCUGCUUAACAGAUGGGCUGCGGAAGAUACUAUAGAGCUAGGAGGCGGGAGAGGCAAGCGGUACUCGAUGGGUAGGGGUAAAAUCCGUUGAUCCAUUGAAGACCACCAGUGGCGAAGGCGGCUUGCCAGAACGCGCUCGACGGUGAGGGAUGAAAGCUGGGGGAGCAAACCGGAUUAGAUACCCGGGUAGUCCCAGCUGUAAACGAUGCAGACUCGGUGAUGAGUUGGCUUAUUGCUAACUCAGUGCUGCAGGGAAGCCGUUAAGUUUGCCGCCUGGGGAGUACGGUCGCAAGACUGAAACUUAAAGGAAUUGGCGGGGGAGCA